AGAUGCAAAUACAAAUUCAACAUCGCUAAAAACAAAAAGGAUGAAUCUGCGAACAAACUCACAACAUCCGUGUUAAUAGCAUACAACGACAAAAUGUCUACAAAUAAUAAUAUGAUAAAACUAAAGUCACCGAAAUAUCCAUGCUUCCGGAUCUGCAACGUUGAUGCCCAAAUUAUUGAUUGAAUCUGCAAUUGAUUGAAGAUGAUCUUUCAAAUAUGAACUAAACGAACACCGUAACAAGACGGAGAAUUCAACAAUGUCGUACCAAGACGACGAUCAACACAAACGCCGCACUCAG
This 298-nucleotide long non-coding RNA is filed under the name Trifolium pratense (red clover). RNAcentral's name for it is "long non-coding RNA (TPRA_LNC003765)". The record is from RNAcentral. Lineage: Eukaryota; Viridiplantae; Streptophyta; Magnoliopsida; Fabales; Fabaceae.